AUUGAACGCUGGCGGAAUGCUUUACACAUGCAAGUCGAACGGUAGAGGGGGCAACCCCUUGAGAGUGGCGAACGGGUGAGUAAUAUAUCGGAACGUGCCCAGUCGUGGGGAUAACGUAGCGAAAGUUACGCUAAUACCGCAUACGAUCUAAGGAUGAAAGCGGGGGACUCGCAAGACCUCGCGCGAUUGGAGCGGCCGAUAUCAGAUUAGGUAGUUGGUGAGGUAAAGGCUCACCAAGCCGACGAUCUGUAGCUGGUCUGAGAGGACGACCAGCCACACUGGGACUGAGACACGGCCCAGACUCCUACGGGAGGCAGCAGUGGGGAAUUUUGGACAAUGGGCGCAAGCCUGAUCCAGCAAUGCCGCGUGCAGGAUGAAGGCCU
This 383-nucleotide ribosomal RNA is filed under the name uncultured bacterium. RNAcentral's name for it is "bacterial SSU rRNA". It matches the Rfam family "Bacterial small subunit ribosomal RNA", at positions 30 to 417 of the family's 1533-position model. The record is from RNAcentral.